Molecule: ribosomal RNA, 253 nt
Filed under: uncultured bacterium
Lineage: Bacteria
Description: partial 16S ribosomal RNA
Rfam family: Bacterial small subunit ribosomal RNA
Source: RNAcentral
UACGUAGGAGGCAAGCGUUGUCCGGAAUUACUGGGCGUAAAGCGCGUGUAGGUGGUGGGACAAGUCUGCUGUGAAAGCGCCUGGCUUAACCGGGCGAGGUCGGCGGAAACUGUCCGACUCGAGGACGGUAGAGGGGGGUGGAAUUCCCGGUGUAGUGGUGAAAUGCGUAGAGAUCGGGAGGAACACCUGUGGCGAAGGCGGCCCCCUGGGCCGGCCCUGACACUGAGACGCGAAGGCGUGGGGAGCAAACGGG